GGAGCUGCGAGCUUGCUCCUGGCCCUACUCCUACUCCUGCAGCCGCUGCCACUCCGGCCAGGGUCCGAGACAUCGGAGCUGUCGCCAUGAUUGGAACUCCACCAGAACAGAGACUUAUCUCCCCUCUCAGAAUAAGAGCUUCUCAUCUCUGUUAGACUGGGAGCUACAAGGAGCUUUGAUGUUUGCUGUGCACCCUCCUCACAACCACUUGGUAAUGUAAGUAGUGAAAGCCAGAGAGAAGCCAAUAUAUACGCAAGACACAGUAGAAGUGCAUUAAAUAUUGGUUGAAUUUACUGCAGCAAAGGAGAGACAAUGAAGUACAAUGGAAAGAUUAGAUCAGGUCUUAACUAGAUUGGGAGUCGGAAGACCUGGGUUCAAGUCCUGUCUCUUCUACUUCCUACCUGUGUAACCUUGGACAAGUUAUUUGAUCUCUUUUUGCCUCUGUUUCGUUAUUUGUAAAGGCAUUGAAUUAGAUGGCUGUCUAAAGUCCCAGCUCUCAAUCUAUGAUCCUUUGAUAAAGGAAAAGAGUAUCAGGAAGGUUGCCACCAGUGCCAGAUACUGCAAAGGUCAAGGAAGUUGAGGACAGAGGGAAAAGUCAUUGGCUCUGGGAAUGAGGAGCUCUCUGAUGACCUUAGCACAGUGUAGCUCCAGUCCAGGAGUGGGUAUGGGAGCCAAAUGACAGGAGACUGAGGAGAAAGAAAGCCAUGGGAGGGAAAGGAAAUGGAAGAGGUGGACAUGGGAGGAAUUUAGUGUGUAGGAUAGGGAUGGAGACAGGGUGGUAGAGGCUUGUAGAGUUAAGUGAUAAUAUUUCAAAAAGGAACACUGAGCUUUAUUUGAAGAAAGUCAAGAAGUGGCUACAAGAGAGAGAAAUCAAAGAUGUUGAAAAUAGAGUAAUGGAUGGAGUGAGAUCACUUAGUGGGGGGUAGGGGAGGAAGGGAAGGGAGCAAGCUUUAUUAAGUGCCAAUUAUUUGCCAGAUGUGCUGUCUUCUUUAUAAAUAUUGUCUCAUUUAUUCCUCACAAGAACCCUGGGAGAUAGGUGCUGUUUUUGUUGUUU
Trichosurus vulpecula (common brushtail) is the source of this 1054-nucleotide long non-coding RNA. RefSeq lists it as uncharacterized. Lineage: Eukaryota; Metazoa; Chordata; Mammalia; Diprotodontia; Phalangeridae. The record is from RefSeq and is a predicted model, not a curated record. The transcript is spliced from 3 exons.